RNAcentral lists this long non-coding RNA (1462 nucleotides) under Homo sapiens (human). RNAcentral describes it as "long non-coding RNA NONHSAT162924.1". The record is from RNAcentral. Lineage: Eukaryota; Metazoa; Chordata; Mammalia; Primates; Hominidae.
UACAAUUGGCUGCGCAAUUCAAUGGAUAAAAACGUUGCUUUAUUUGUCUCUCAUUUUCUGGCCCGUUCUUUUCCCACGUUUCUCAACCAGCGACUCCCCAAAACAAAAGCCUCCCACAGUAAACCGAGCACGCACAUAAAAAGAGCUUCUCUGUGCGAGGAUCAAGUUAGUGGUCCGCAAACAUUAACCAAACAGAAGCACAAAGCAGGGGUGGGAAGGGGAGGAGCUGGAUGCCAGGGUCAGGAAAGAAACAAUCAGAAGGGUUUAGGAACAUCCAAAUCUCCUCAGCGGUUAAACCGACCCCAAACCACUUCUGGGAAACCACCGGUAUCCACUGCUUUGGGGAACUCUGGAUGCUCGUUAUGCCAAACGCUCUCAAAGUUUAGGAAGGACGACCGCGUCGCCUGCCUCCCUCCCUCGCCCAGAGCCGGGAGCAAUGCUGGGGCACGAAAGAGGACUUGGGAAGGAUCCGGUCCUUACUUUCCCCGCGGGUCCCGGACCCGCAGCCCCCGGGUUGUGAGGCGGAAGCCAAAGGGGCGAACCCAGCGGAGCCGGCGUGCACAGACCCUGCCCCGCGGUCCAAGAGGGGUGCCUCCGGCCCGGGACAGCGGGGCUCCCGGAGCCCGAAAGCCCCACGAGCGGCGACAGCGGGGCCCGGCGCUGACGAACAGAGGAAGCGAGUACAACGGAGCCGCCGUCGGGAACAUGCCCUCUCUGCGCCCCUCUCCGCCCCGCCUCCCUCCUAGGUGAAGGAAGAUGAUUUCCCCCCCAUCUUGACCACCCCCCAGUCUUCGCCGCCAAAAACGGACUCCGCCGGCUAUCCUCGGCCCGGUACCAGUUGUUGGAUCCAAGAGAAUUCCGGAACCCAAACGGCUCGCUCAAAGCACUUUAUUGGCAGUGAAACCGCAAGUAACCCGGAGCCCUCGGCGCGACCACGGCUAGAAUCAGAGCCUAAGGCGUGUGAGCUCAGCCAUCCCACGUCUGUCUUCACGCUCAUACGCAAGCCCGACACACCGGGGCUCCCACUUAAUGAAUACUGAAGAGUAGGGCUGUCCCUACCGCUUCUCACUUCCUUGUUUUCAUCUUUUCGUUAUUAUUAAGCGACCUAACACAAUAAACAUAUUACCUUGUUGGUAACCCUUUUGUAAAGUCAUUCUGAAAGUGCUGUUUGACUCCGUUGCUUGGGUAAUAAGCACGCCUGGGUGAUUCUUGCCCCCUACUGGCUGCGCAUCCUACAAGCCUAGUGCUGAAAGCAAACCAAGUAGCUGGAACAGUUGGAGGUUACAGUGUGAACUCUUCCAGAGACAAAGUAUUCGGGGAAAGAAAGGAAAAAGUAGGCACAGAAAGAAUAGGAAACUUCAGUGUUUGUACACAUAGAUAUGUAUUAUAUAUCUAUGUAUACAUUUAUAAAUAUUUUUAAAGUGCUAACUAAUCGCUUUACUAAUUACAUUAUUUCAUUUAA